ACCCAGGAUCACUUCCGAAACCACUUGGCCUUCAGCCCCUGCCUCGGCCAGAGGUUUCAUUUUUAACUGAAUAUUUACGAAAGCUGAAAGCGUGCGAGGGGGGUGGGGUGGAAAUAGCGGCUGCUUCUUUUCCAAGGAUUUAUUUAAUGGGGAUGUGUUCAAGGCAAGACCGAAUUCAGAAGGAUAUCGACGUCGUGAUCCAGAAGUCCAGAGCUGAGGACUGCCUGUUUGCAGGGCCCGCCUGGCAGGACGACUGAGCAAGUUCUUGGAAAACCAGAGAUAUUAGAGCGGUGAAUCGCGCUGGUCACGUUGGACACCUGCGCGUUAGGAGAUUCUGGAGCCAGAGGGAGAGACCCCAGAAACGCCCCGGUCGGCGACCCAGCCCGAGACGCCUGGGGUCCCAAGGGAAGCUGAACGCCCGGUGGGCUCCCGGGAUGGUUCUUCCGGUUCUUUGUGCCGCCUUCACCCAGUGAAGGAGCCUGUAUCCACCCUGCCCAGUCGCUGUUGGGCUGCUGCGGAGCUUCCGCUGCCAUCUUCGGAUCCUGUGUUCCGCCCGGGGCUCCACCAGGGCAGGGAUGGUGCAGAAUGGGGAAAUGGAGAGAGAACCUGAAAGAGCCCCAAACUCGAGGACCUAUUGCUCCCCAAGAAUAACAUCUUCCAGAACUAGACAGAAAACUAGGCGUCUGGGAACCCUGAAAUCCUUGGAGGAGUAGAUCAUCAUGACCCUCUGUGUUCCUUUUGGCAAAUGACUUGCUUCCAUUGUUUGUUUGUUCAAUUGUCUGUUUGUUAAAUAAAUAAAACCCUUUUUAUGUAUCUUUAAAAUUACAUUGGUUCUAUUAUUUUAUGAUUACAAACGAUGCUGCAGUCAUCAUUCUUGUACACUUCUCAUUGGCCACUGGUGUAUUUCUAUAGGGUGGAGGCCUGGAGAGCAGUUGUUCCAGCAUAGUGUUUACAUAGCUUUUAUUUAAUUCCGUUUUCUUUCCUUUGUUGCUUUAUUAGCUAUAACCCUUCUCUUAUUUCAGUGGCAGCUUUAGGGUUUCUGGGAUACAUCUUUAAUUUAUCACAUUCUGCUUUCAAGUGUAAUUAUACCUCCCUUUCUGGCCUUUAUCCUAGUGUUACGUAUUUUUACUUUAUGCAUUAUAAGUUUUGUGAUUAUCAUUACCUUCAUUUAUUAUGUCAAAUAUUUUUAAAAAGAUUUAAAUUAUAAGAAAAUGUGUAGUACAUGCUUUCUAAAUGCCAUUUCCAAUAUUUGUUUUUGUAUAGGUCCAGAUUUUUAUCUGGGAUCCUUUUGCUUCUGCCUGGAGGACUCUUAAGAUUUCUUGUAGCGUGGGUUGGUGAAUUCUUUUAGUUUUUGUAUGUUUUUCAAUGUCCUUAUUUCACUCACAGUUUUGAAAUUUUAUUUUUGCAUAGAAUUCUAGGUUAAUUUUUUUCUCUAGUACUUUAAAAAUGUUGCCAUUUAUGAAGCAUUGCCAUUUAAAGUAUCAUCUUUCAUGUGCUUGUGAAAAUGGCAUAAAGCCGGUUUCUUGUGCUGGUUAUGUAAUUUUCAGAAUGUGUAUUUAAAUUUAAAAUAUUAAAUUUUCCUAAAAAACUAAAAAUAUUAAUCAUGAAUGUCCUAGAUUCAUCUUAAAUUCCACCAACAGUGCACUUAAAAUGUGCCCAACCUGAGGGUCAAACCUACCUGCUGACAUGUAAUUUGUGUUUGUGAGACAUUCUCAACAGCAUUUGCUUUCCCCAGCUGAGUGAUCUUCCUCACAUCUGAAUGUCUUCAGUGCAAAAGGAAAUGUUUUUCUUCGCAAAAAUACUUUCAAAUACUCUUACUUCAAGGAAGUGCAUUAAAAACAAACUUCUCAUUUGCAUCCCUGGAAUUCAAAGCCCUAAUCAAGUGCUUCAGGAUCAAGAGCUAAACAGGGGAGGACAAAGCGUGGCUUCUUCACUAGGAGUCAAGCCAAAGUCAACUGGUUUGAUCGCCAACGUAGAUCGGAACUCGGUUCACCAGCGACCUGAGGACCCGGCCCAGAAGAGGGAGUGUCUCUUCAUGGUGCCUUCAGAUAGAAAAUCUCCUAGGAUUUCUUUCUUUCCCUUUGAUCUACUUCCAACUCUCCCUUUCUAUUUCUUCAAGACCUUUUUCGGAUCCCUACUGCGAAGGACCUAAGGGGCCGGUGCCCUUCCCCACUGGUCCCUCCCUGCCUGGUGUCUUAGGAGCCCAAGCUCACCUGGAACAUUACUGCCCGCCGGAGACAGCGAGAGGACCAAGGAGCGCGGCGGUGCGGUGGGAACCACAGCGUCACCGCUCACCUGCGCCUCGUGGGCUCCUAGAAAAUUGAAUAAAUGCCCCCUGAAGCUUCUCUGCAGGUCACACGGAAGAGGAGGGUGGCUGCCGACACGCGGGAGAAGCUUCAAGAAGCGUCGGGAGGACCUACCUGGUCCUGCCCCUGGGCCUUGAAGACAGGCCUGGCCAGGCUGAUUUGGUCCGGUAGUCUCAAAGAAAAUGUUCAAGGGUGGCCCAAACCUCCACCCCAAGAUUAAGGCUCUUAAAUGUCUGACGGUUUUGAGACUCGUCAGUAGAAUCAAUCCCGCCUGUAUCAGGAGACUCCUUUGCCAAAAUUCAAAGACCAAGAAAGAGAAAGAUUGGGCAGGUUAAAGUCUGUAAUUAACCAAACAGGAGACAGAAUUUUUCUGAGAAAUUGUAUGUGUGCUGUGAGAAAAAGACUAGCCUCAAGGAGAAUCUGUUCUUUUGGCUUAAUUGUAGGAAAGAAUGGAAUUGCCACCAACAAUGGUACGUUGAAACGGCAGGUGCAUCAGGCUGUAGAUGUGAAGGAAUUAAAAAUAUUUUACCCCAAAAUACAUUUCUUUGACAUAUUUUGAGAUGUCUGUUCAGAAAGCCAGCUGCAGAAGUAGCCCUGCAAAGUUGUCUUUCGUUGGGGAGAUUUGCAUCUGUAGGGAAUCUGCAUUGAUGCAGCCAAGUCUUUCCUUGCCCAGAUCUAGGAAAGAUUAACUGAGAGUCUGACAGCUGUAAAGGUCUGAAAGAAACUUUCAGAGCUUAUUCUUUCUGAGAGCUGCUGCCUGUAAGGUUUCAUUUACAUAUUAAGAUCACCUUUGCUAGCCAGGCCUCCUCUUCUCUCCCUCCCAUAACCUGUCUUGCCCACAAUAAAUGGAUAUACCUCUGACUCUAA
This 3173-nucleotide long non-coding RNA is filed under the name Homo sapiens (human). RNAcentral's name for it is "non-protein coding LINC00623:41". The record is from RNAcentral. Lineage: Eukaryota; Metazoa; Chordata; Mammalia; Primates; Hominidae.